UACAGGGGGCCCGAGCGUUAAUCGGAAUCACUGGGCUUAAAGGGUGCGUAGGCGGAUCAGGAAGUGUUUCGUGAAAACCCCCGGCUCAACCGGGGAACUGCGGAGCAAACUCCUGAUCUUGAGGGAAGUAUGGGCGGACAGAACUAUCGGUGGAGCGGUGAAAUGCGUAGAUAUCGAUAGGAAUGCCGAUGGCGAAGGCGGUCCGCUGGGCUUCUCCUGACGCUCAGGCACGAAAGCGUGGGGAGCAAACAGG
This 253-nucleotide ribosomal RNA is filed under the name uncultured bacterium. Its description in RNAcentral is "partial 16S ribosomal RNA". It matches the Rfam family "Bacterial small subunit ribosomal RNA", at positions 524 to 776 of the family's 1533-position model. The record is from RNAcentral.